This 501-nucleotide ribosomal RNA is filed under the name uncultured bacterium. Its description in RNAcentral is "bacterial SSU rRNA". It matches the Rfam family "Bacterial small subunit ribosomal RNA", at positions 29 to 509 of the family's 1533-position model. The record is from RNAcentral.
AACGAACGUUGGCGGCGUGGAUUAGGCAUGCAAGUCGAACGCGAAAGGGGAGCAAUCCCCGAGUAAAGUGGCGAACGGGUGAGUAACGCGUGGGAAAUCUGCCCUAGAGCGGGGAAUAACACUCCCAACGGGGUGCUAAUACCGCAUGAUAUCGCUGGUGGACAUCCUCUGGCGAUCAAAGGUGGGGACCGCAAGGCCUGCCACUCUAGGAUGAUCCCGCGUCCGAUUAGCUAGUUGGUAGGGUAAUGGCCUACCAAGGCGACGAUCGGUAGCUGGUCUGAGAGGAUGGUCAGCCACACUGGGACUGAGAUACGGCCCAGACUCCUACGGGAGGCAGCAGUCGAGAGGCUUCGGCAAUGGGCGAAAGCCUGACCGAGCGACGCCACGUGAGCGAUGAAGCCCUUCGGGGUGUAAAGCUCUUUUGUGGGGGAAGAACAGCUGCGACCUAAUACGUCGCAGCCUGACGGUACCCUGCGAAUAAGCUCCGGCUAACUCCGUGCC